AUACGUAGGGGGCGAGCGUUGUCCGGAAUGAUUGGGCGUAAAGGGCGCGUAGGCGGCCCGGUAAGUCUGGAGUGAAAGUCCUGUGUUUAAGAUGGGAAUUGCUUUGGAUACUGUCGGGCUUGAGUGCAGGAGAGGUAAGUGGAAUUCCCAGUGUAGCGGUGAAAUGCGUAGAGAUUGGGAGGAACACCAGUGGCGAAGGCGACUUACUGGACUGUAACUGACGCUGAGGCGCGAAAGUGUGGGGAGCAAACAGGAUUAGAUACCCUGGUAGUCCACACUGUAAACGAUGAAUGCUAGGUGUAGGGGGUAUCGACCCCUUCUGUGCCGCAGUCAACACAAUAAGCAUUCCGCCUGGGGAGUACGGCCGCAAGGUUGAAACUCAAAGGAAUCGACGGGG
RNAcentral lists this ribosomal RNA (397 nucleotides) under uncultured bacterium. RNAcentral describes it as "partial 16S ribosomal RNA". It matches the Rfam family "Bacterial small subunit ribosomal RNA", at positions 523 to 918 of the family's 1533-position model. The record is from RNAcentral.